UCUCUCUCCUCCUCUCUAAUAUAGCUGUACAUGACUGGUUCUCCAUCCUCCUCUCUAAUGUAUUUAUACUAUACUGGUUUUCCCUUCUCCUAUUCUCAAUAAUGUAUCUAUACUAGACUGGUUGUCCCUCCUCCUCUCUAAUGUAUCUAUCAUAGACUGGUUCUCCCUCCUCCUCCUCUCUAAUGUAUCUAUACUAUACUUGUUCUCCCUUCUCCUCCUCUCUAAUGUAUCUAUACUAGACUGGUUGUCCCUCCUCCUCUAUUAUGUAGCUAAACUAGACUGGUUCUCCCUCCUCCUCCUCUCUAAUGUAUCUAUAAUAGACUGGUUCUCCCUCCUCCUCCUCUCUAAUGUAGCUAUACUAGACUGGUUCUCCCUCCUCCUCUCUAAUGUAGCUAUACUAGACUGGUUCUCUCUCCUCCUCUCUAAUAUAACUUUACAUGACUGGUUCUCCGUCCUCCUCUCUAAUGUAUCUAAUCUAUACUGGUUUUCCCUUCUCCUAUUCUAUAUAAUGUAUCUAUACUAGACUGGUUUUCCCUCCUCCUCCUCUCUAAUGUAGCUAUACUAGACUGGUUCUCCCUCCUCCUCCUCUCUAAUGUGUCUAUACUAGACUGGUUUUCCCUCCUCCUCUCUAAUGUAUCUAUACUAGACUGGUUUUCCCUCCUCCUCCUCUAUUAUGUAGCUGUACUAGACUGGUUCUCCCUCCUCCUCCUCUCUAAUGUAGCUGUACUAGACUGGUUCUCCCUACUCCUCCUCUCUAAUGUAGCUAUACUAGACUGGUUCUCCCUCCUCCUCCUCUCUAAUGUAGCUAUACUAUACUGGUUCUCCGUCCUCCUCCUCUCUAAUGUAGCUAUACUAGACUGGUUCUCCAUCCUCCUCUCUAAUGGAGCUAUACUAGACUGCUUCUCUCUCCUCCUCUCUAAUAUAGCUGUACAUGACUGGUUCUCCAUCCUCCUCUCUAAUGUAUCUAUACUAUACUGGUUG
Molecule: long non-coding RNA, 981 nt
Organism: Oncorhynchus tshawytscha (Chinook salmon)
Lineage: Eukaryota; Metazoa; Chordata; Actinopteri; Salmoniformes; Salmonidae
Source: Ensembl